GUGGGGAAUAUUGGACAAUGGGCGAAAGCCUGAUCCAGCCAUGCCGCGUGUGUGAAGAAGGUCUUCGGAUUGUAAAGCACUUUAAGUUGGGAGGAAGGGCAGUAAGUUAAUACCUUGCUGUUUUGACGUUACCGACAGAAUAAGCACCGGCUAACUUCGUGCCAGCAGCCGCGGUAAUACGAAGGGUGCAAGCGUUAAUCGGAAUUACUGGGCGUAAAGCGCGCGUAGGUGGUUUUGUAAGUUGGAGGUGAAAUCCCCGGGCUCAACCUGGGAACUGCGUCCAAAACUGCAUGACUAGAGUACGGUAGAGGGUAGUGGAAUUUCCUGUGUAGCGGUGAAAUGCGUAGAUAUAGGAAGGAACACCAGUGGCGAAGGCGACUACCUGGACUGAUACUGACACUGAGGUGCGAAAGCGUGGGGAGCAAACAGGAUUAGAUACCCGUGUAGUCC
This 450-nucleotide ribosomal RNA is filed under the name uncultured bacterium. Its description in RNAcentral is "partial 16S ribosomal RNA". It matches the Rfam family "Bacterial small subunit ribosomal RNA", at positions 354 to 796 of the family's 1533-position model. The record is from RNAcentral.